Hermetia illucens (black soldier fly) is the source of this 1269-nucleotide long non-coding RNA. RefSeq lists it as uncharacterized. Lineage: Eukaryota; Metazoa; Arthropoda; Insecta; Diptera; Stratiomyidae. The transcript is spliced from 3 exons. The record is from RefSeq and is a predicted model, not a curated record.
AGAAGACAUGGUGGAUGCUGUUGUCAAUUUACCGAGUGGUUUACAUUUAACAUCAGAUCCUAAUUGAGAGAACAGUCCUCGUACGGAUUGAUGAAGUGUGUGGAGUGCUAAGCCAGGCCUCGAUUUGUGACCUUCGUGAGUUGUGCCGUCAAAGAAUCUCUGAAAGUCGUAGAGAUGUUGAUGUUAAGUUUUUGUGUUUAAAAACUGUUCUGUAAUCCUGUUUCGCAGUUUACCGGUUCAAUUUUCAAAUCGAGCGGUUUCUGUUUUUCACUGUUAUUUAUAGUCGAGUCUGAGUGCUUCACUGAUUAUCCUUAAGGACAUUCUUCUAGCCGCGGUUAUUGUUUGUGUAGAUUCAACAAACCAAGCAGUUCAAUGUGGUGAAAUCCUUCGGAGGUGAGCUCCGACAAUGCACAACGCUUCGGACAGUGCAGAAAGUUAUCGGGAUAACAACAAUAAAGAACCAACGAAUAUUUGCGUCCCAUUAUGAAAUAGGAUACAUAUUUCGUGAUUGUGAGAAAUAUUCAGAUUUAAAAGUGUACAGUGAAUAAUCAGCGCGAAAGUUUCGAGUUGGACAGCUGCAUUCACCUGUUGCACUUCCAGUAAUUUUGAGUUAUGUUCGACUAAGAGCGGUCUCUUUACUGUAAAAAUUCUCACAACAAUAAUUUCCGUUAAGCGAUUGACGCGAAUUAAAUUCUAGAAUUGAAUAGUGCGCUCCAAAUGUGACUCCGAUAUUUCUGGGUGUUGGAUGGAAAUUCCAAAUGUCGACUUCUCUGAUGGAGCUGAGUGUUUCAUGCUUGUUGCAAAUUGAUUCUCUUCAUAACGCGAUUCAAGCAACAAUGUCAGUAACACAUGGAAAUUUUAAGGAUUGCCGCGAUCCAUAUAAAACCGUAGGAUCAUCCAAAUAUAAAGAUAUAUGCCUUUAGUUUUUUAGAAAAUAUUCUUAAAUUAAGGUAGCAGCUAAGCGCUUUGUUAAAUUUUUACAUUCUGUGAAGGAUUAACACAUUUUGGAGCACGCUUACUGGUCAAAAGGUUCCUUUUAUAUCCAUAAAUAGAUUUUGGUAACUGAAAGGGUAGUUCUAAUUAUAAAGUCGAUUUGUAAUGAUGGAAAUAUAGUGCGGCCAAAUUAUGAUACAUAAGAAAAUUUAGUUUUUAAAGCUUUAAGUUUGUAAUGAUACGAGUGAGAAUAGAAGAUCAGGUCGAUCAUCCUGAGUGGCCGAUAACGACCCAGAGGGCAGAGCUAUCCCAAAAAUCUAAACAAAUUGGCUAAAU